UGGGUUCCCCUUUUUGUAGGUGAACCUGCGGAAGGCAGUCAUUGAAUCUAUCAAACCACACUUUACGUGAACCAUCUAUGUUGGCCAUCUGUGUGUGCCUAAGAAACACACAUGGAUUGGAUUAGGGUCUGAGCAAUCGGACCCUAAUGCAGCUGUUGGAUAGCUGCUGCUGCAAAGCACAGCUGUCUGGCAUCGGCCUUGCCAACCCUACCAACACCAAACAUUAAACAAAUCAAUAAUGGAUGCAUGGCUUAGAGCUGUGUGUUCAACAACCAAAGACAACUCUCAACAACGGAUAUCUUGGCUCUCAGAUCGAUGAAGAACGCAGCGAAAUGCGAUACGUAGUGUGAAUUGCAGAAAUACGUGAAUCAUCGAAUCUUUGAACGCAAAUUGCGCUCGAGGCUUCGGCCAAGAGCAUGUCUGCCUCAGCGUCGGGUAAAAACUCGCUCACAGUUACACUGUGUGCGGACCUGACUGUCUCAUCACAAUCACUUGUGAUGGGUCAGUUGAAGUGUGCAGCUGUUGGUACAUGGACCCGCUAAUGGGCCUCUACUGGGUAGGCAAUCUUUGCUACAUGCUUUAGUAGAUGGCUUAGGAUCCUUGUGUGCUGACACAAAGCAGGAAUAUGCAUCCGUGCAUAUCAAAUCACUUUUCCUCGACCUGAGCUCAGGCAAGAUUACCCGCUGAACUUAACAAUUGGGGAACCCAA
RNAcentral lists this ribosomal RNA (709 nucleotides) under Pandorina colemaniae. RNAcentral's name for it is "eukaryotic LSU rRNA". The stretch from base 281 to 434 matches the Rfam family "5.8S ribosomal RNA". The record is from RNAcentral. Lineage: Eukaryota; Viridiplantae; Chlorophyta; Chlorophyceae; Chlamydomonadales; Volvocaceae.